Molecule: ribosomal RNA, 497 nt
Filed under: uncultured bacterium
Lineage: Bacteria
Description: partial 16S ribosomal RNA
Rfam family: Bacterial small subunit ribosomal RNA
Source: RNAcentral
GAUGAACGCUGGCGGCGUGCCUAAUACAUGCAAGUCGAGCGAACAGACGAGGAGCUUGCUCCUCUGACGUUAGCGGCGGACGGGUGAGUAACACGUGGAUAACCUACCUAUAAGACUGGGAUAACUUCGGGAAACCGGAGCUAAUACCGGAUAAUAUAUUGAACCGCAUGGUUCAAUAGUGAAAGACGGUUUUGCUGUCACUUAUAGAUGGAUCCGCGCCGCAUUAGCUAGUUGGUAAGGUAACGGCUUACCAAGGCAACGAUGCGUAGCCGACCUGAGAGGGUUGUCGACCAUCCUGGAACGGUAACACGGUACAGACUCCUACAGGAUGCAGCAGUGGAGAACCUUCCGGAACGAGCGGAAGCCUGACGGUGCAACGCCGCGUGAGUGAUGAAGGUCUUCGGAUCGUAAAACUCUGUUAUUAGGGAAGAACAAAUGUGUAAGUAACUAUUAGCGUCUUGACGGUACCUAAUCAGAAAGCCACGGCUAACUACGUG